This 532-nucleotide ribosomal RNA is filed under the name uncultured bacterium. Its description in RNAcentral is "partial 16S ribosomal RNA". It matches the Rfam family "Bacterial small subunit ribosomal RNA", at positions 355 to 874 of the family's 1533-position model. The record is from RNAcentral.
UGGGGAAUUUUGGACAAUGGGCGCAAGCCUGAUCCAGCAAUGCCGCGUGCAGGAAGAAGGCCUUCGGGUUGUAAACUGCUUUUGUCAGGGAAGAAAUCCUCUGGGUUAAUACCUCGGGGGGAUGACGGUACCUGAAGAAUAAGCACCGGCUAACUACGUGCCAGCAGCCGCGGUAAUACGUAGGGUGCGAGCGUUAAAUCAGAAUUACUGGGCGUAAAGCGUGCGCAGGCGGUUGUGCAAGACAGGUGUGAAAUCCCCCGGGGNUUAACCUGGGAACUGCACUUGUGACUGCACGGGCUAGAGUACGGUAGAGGGGGGAAUGGAAUUCCGCGUGUAGCAGUGAAAUGCGUAGAUAUGCGGAGGAACACCGAUGGCGAAGGCAAUCCCCUGGACCUGUACUGACGCUCAUGCACGAAAGCGUGGGGAGCAAACAGGAUUAGAUACCCUGGUAGUCCACGCCCUAAACGAUGUCAACUGGUUGUUGGACGGCUUGCUGUUCAGUAACGAAGCUAACGCGUGAAGUUGACCGCCU